Heterocephalus glaber (naked mole-rat) is the source of this 1814-nucleotide long non-coding RNA. The record is from Ensembl. NCBI's taxonomy places the organism in Eukaryota, Metazoa, Chordata, Mammalia, Rodentia, Bathyergidae.
GCUAAAAAUAUGAUCAGGAAAUACUUUUCAGCACUGUGCUGUUUUAGGUCCCUCUGGGCUCAAGGGCGCCUUUGUCUCUGCCACAGAAAAUCCACAUUUAUCAAAACCAAAGUUGCUUUAUCAAGCGGGCUCAUGUUCUGUGGCAGGAAACUGGAGCCUGCCCCGUGGCCCUGUGGCACUUUAAUUUAGGGCCUGAUUUGUGUGCAGCAUAGACAGGGAGCCCCGGAGCCACCCCAGGCCACUCAGGACUUGGGCACCCGGUGGGAAGGGAAGGAGAACUGGGCUUGGUCCCCAGUCCCACAGGACCAGAGGUGGCGGCGAAGCAAGGGGCCCCCAGCUGGUCCCACCAGGUGGUCCCUGGCGUUCCCACCCCAUGGGUGCAGCCAGAGGUCCGGCCCCCAGUAAACCUCCCCAGUCCAGGGGAGAGAAGCAGGACAGGGGAGAGGGGACAGCACCUGUGGAUCCCCCACCCGUGAGGCUGUGUGGGGCAGGCAGGGGACGGCACAGCCCGACCCGCUCCUCACCGUGUGCACUCGCAGCCCCAUGCCUGCCACCCAUGCAGGACCUCAGCUCCUCCUGGGGAGGAGCCAGUGGGGCUUGGCAUUUACUUCCCCAGAGGCGAUGUUGCUUGGUGCUGAGGAAAGAGGGAGGCAGCAGAUGCUGCAGGUGGCACAGGCGCUGGUGCUCCUGCCCUCGGGGGAUGGAGACCCGAGCCUCCUGAGCACUGGCUCAUCCCCUCUGCCUCGGCAGGGGCUGCACAUGGGGCCAGGGUGACUGGGCUCCAGGAGGCAUCCUGGGCCCUGUAGAGACAGUCCCGUCUGUUCUGCUUCCCUCGUGGUCCCUGGAGCUAGCUCGGCUGACAGUUGUGCUUCAGAGGCAUUUUUAACGACAUGGAAAAACCCUAAUCUCAUUACAACAGUAAAACUGGCUUUCAAAAGGUAAUGUUCCAAGUAGCUCACAAGGUAUGACCUCAACUGUCCCACGAACCUGCAUGCUAGACAAAGGAAAGAAGGGGCCCUAAGGCCUGGUACCUGCAGGGAACAGGCCACGUGGGGUCCACCUUGAUGUUGGGGUUGGUUAUGAUCUUUAUGUUCUGAUUCUCUGUGAUUUAUUUUUUUGCAAUGCCAGUCCUGAGCUGUGUAAGGGUGGGAACAUUGAGCCUGAGCCACACCUGGGGGGUGGCCCCCAAAGAUUCGGUUUGGAGCUGUGAAGGCCCCCGAGGCCACCUAAGGAGCCGCACAUGGGCCCUAGGGCGCAAAGCUGUGUGGAAAUCCAGUGUCCAUAAGGCACCCUGGGGCCUGUCCCCUGCAGGCACCAGGCCUGAGGGUCACCUCGGAGCCCCGCAGACACCUGCGAGGCUGCCCAUGCUUGUGGGAUGAAUGUCACUGUGGCGGCCUCUCGGAGGCCGGGCCCCGCUUUCUCCAGAGUUCUGGGGAGCAGGCCACUGUGGGGCUGUCACGGUCCCCUCCCCUCAGACUCUGGGUGUGGCUCAGGGCAGGUGUCCAGGCCUUCUUCCUCCUUGCCCACCCAGUUCUCUACCCUCACCUCCCGGAGGGCCCUGCUGUCCUCCAGGUGGGUGCAGAGGGAGGAGGCAGACAAAUCUGCCACAUGCUGUGUUUUGCAGGACACCGCCUGGCACCAGGGCAAGCAAGCUCUGCUCCAGUGGCUCACCGCUGCCCAUGCCUGGCCACUGUGGUGGGCACAUAGCCAUCAGGGCAUCCUGCCACCACUAGCUCCUGUGCCUGGAGCCUCCCAUCAGAGCUGGGCUGAGCUGUGGAUCCUUCUUACUCUGCCACUGAUGAGCGAGCAGCGUG